This 67-nucleotide transfer RNA is filed under the name Marmota monax (woodchuck). RNAcentral describes it as "tRNA.Ala". It matches the Rfam family "tRNA", at positions 6 to 65 of the family's 71-position model. From Rfam's summary of the family: Transfer RNA (tRNA) molecules are approximately 80 nucleotides in length. Lineage: Eukaryota; Metazoa; Chordata; Mammalia; Rodentia; Sciuridae. The record is from RNAcentral.
GGAUGUGGCUCAGUGGUAGAGCGCUUGCCUAGCAUGUGUGAGGCCCUGGGUUCGAUUCUCGGCACCA